RNAcentral lists this long non-coding RNA (276 nucleotides) under Capsicum annuum. RNAcentral's name for it is "long non-coding RNA (CANN_LNC017875)". The record is from RNAcentral. Lineage: Eukaryota; Viridiplantae; Streptophyta; Magnoliopsida; Solanales; Solanaceae.
UUUUUUUAGCCUUCACUCACGAUUUUUACUUUUCCUCGCGGAUCCUAAACUUCUAUCUGGAAUCUGUUUUUCUGUGGGAUCUCUCUCCCCCCCGAGAAUGGUAAUUUUGGGGAUAUUUAUAGCCAAAAUCCGGACCCCAAAGUCUAGAUUUGAAACACAUUUUUAUGGAGAUGAGAUUUGAAUUCAAAAAAUUAACGUUGAUCUACAAAUGUCAACCUUAUUUCAAGGUUUAGUUGCGAAUUCUAAGAAAUUUACCGUUUGUUGCAUGAAUUAGGG